UCGAGGCAAUCGCGACGGCGCGCGCUCAGUGGUGAGGCGAUCUGAACUUACAAGCACAAGAUGUCAGCAACAGCAGCUGAAGUGGAAAAAAGUUCUACACUUCCAGACUCUCUGAGACUGAUUGUCUUAGGUGAAAUUCUCACUGCAACCCAGUGGAUGCUGAGUAUUGAGGGUCAAGUGGUUCUGAAUCAACACCCCAAUUUCAUGGCUGAAUUUGCUGCUUUGUUUGCAACUUACUACAACUUUAAUCUGGUGUACCAGC
Molecule: non-coding RNA, 262 nt
Organism: Pimephales promelas (fathead minnow)
Lineage: Eukaryota; Metazoa; Chordata; Actinopteri; Cypriniformes; Leuciscidae
Source: RefSeq, a predicted model, not a curated record